This 253-nucleotide ribosomal RNA is filed under the name uncultured bacterium. RNAcentral describes it as "partial 16S ribosomal RNA". It matches the Rfam family "Bacterial small subunit ribosomal RNA", at positions 524 to 776 of the family's 1533-position model. The record is from RNAcentral.
UACGUAGGGUGCGAGCGUUGUCCGGAGUUAUUGGGCGUAAAGGGCUCGUAGGCGGUUUGUCACGUCGGGAGUGAAAACUCGGGGCUCAACCCCGAGCCUGCUUCCGAUACGGGCAGACUAGAGGUAUGCAGGGGAGAAUGGAAUUCCUGGUGUAGCGGUGAAAUGCGCAGAUAUCAGGAGGAACACCGGUGGCGAAGGCGGUUCUCUGGGCAUUACCUGACGCUGAGGAGCGAAAGUGUGGGGAGCGAACAGG